Molecule: transfer RNA, 67 nt
Filed under: Phaneroptera falcata (sickle-bearing bush cricket)
Lineage: Eukaryota; Metazoa; Arthropoda; Insecta; Orthoptera; Tettigoniidae
Description: tRNA-His
Source: RNAcentral
AUUUAAGUAGUUUAAUAAAAAUAUUGAUUUGUGGUGUCAAAGAUGUAAUAUUAUGUUACCUUAGAUC